Non-coding RNA from Erythranthe guttata (spotted monkey flower), 506 nucleotides. The record is from RefSeq and is a predicted model, not a curated record. Lineage: Eukaryota; Viridiplantae; Streptophyta; Magnoliopsida; Lamiales; Phrymaceae.
CUCCAAAUCCUUAUUUGCACUACCCUAAUUCUUGCGGAGUCAAUCUUUCAUACCAGCCACCAGGCUCCAAUCCGAUGAUGAAGACCUAAAACCGAUCUUCUACAUGUAAUUAUAGUUCAUGCCUCCCUAUGCACUUCUUUUAGGAAGUCACUUCAUUGAUGCCUGCAACAAGUAAAAAUUUCUAAAUUACUGAUACCGAUGAUCAAUAUUCCUUGUACGAUACUUUAGCAGGAUCCCUCAAUGUUGGAGGUUCCAGUCUUCAGUUACGGGUUUCUAUGGAUGGAGAAUAAUGUGGACAUGGAUUUUCAUAUCGUGAUGGGUUGAUACAAGUUAUGAUAAUUUUCUUCAAGAUAGUUCCUUCUCAGAUGAUUGAUUUAUGGAAAAUGAACUUUAAUCGGUAUUGAUAUCGUCGGUUGGAUACAAAAUUGGGGAAUGAUAUUUAUAUUGUACUUUUUUUUUUUUGUUUGAAACUAUGACAAUAAAUUUUAUCAUAAAGAUUUGUUACU